Small nucleolar RNA from Astyanax mexicanus (Mexican tetra), 77 nucleotides. The record is from Ensembl. Lineage: Eukaryota; Metazoa; Chordata; Actinopteri; Characiformes; Acestrorhamphidae.
GUGUGAAAUGAUGGUUUACCAUCUUUCGGGACUGACAAGUCAUGGAGAUAUCUUUUUAACUAUUUUGCUGAUCAUGC